This is a non-coding RNA of Labrus bergylta (ballan wrasse), 880 nucleotides long. Lineage: Eukaryota; Metazoa; Chordata; Actinopteri; Labriformes; Labridae. The record is from RefSeq and is a predicted model, not a curated record.
ACGUGUUUUUACUUGUAAGGUUAACUUUCUGUCUCUGUCUGUUUCAGCAGGAGGAUGGAAACUGACGACUGCUGUGACAGUUCCUGCUAUUUUCCUCAUUAUCAUACUCAUCUUUGUCGUCAUAUGGAUCAUAAAGAAGAGGGCCUGCAAGCAACCGUCUGAGCCCGGAGACAGACCAGAGAACAGUGAACAGAUACAACCAGCAGAGGAGCAGGAUGAGCUUCAAUAUGCCACUGUCGACUUUUCCAGGAACCAGGCUGAUCCUCUCUACUCCAACAUCCAACCAGUUAAACCCCAAAGACACAAGAAAAAGAAGAAGAAGAAGGAGAACAAGAGGAGAUGGUUGAGUACUCUGUGGUUAACUUUAACAGCGGCGGUGCAGCCCAGAGCACCAGUGGUCAGCAAGCUGCAGAUCCAGCUGCAUUGUACAGUACAGUCAACAAACAUGGACAAAGAAACCUCUAGUUUACUCUCAUCCAAUGAAAUCCUUACAGGAAACCACUUUGAGAAUGAAUCCUCGGGACAGACUCCUUCAAGAACGCAGCUAGACCUGCAUUUAAUAAAUGACUUCAAACAGAUAAAUGAUGUUAGUAUUAAGCUUUGUGAAUGACUUACUGUGGUCCACCUGUAAAGUGAUUAUGAAUUAUUUUACAGGAUUAAUAAUGAGUUUUACAUUAACAAGACUCAGGUUUAAACAAAUCAAACAAGUAUUACUAGUUAAAAAGUAUUUACCUUUAUUGUUAAUUGUUGUUGUCAAGAAUCUUAUUUUGUAUUCAUCUGUUUCUUAUUGUUUUGUGGGGGAAGCUUUUAUUUUGAAGGCUGAUUUGCUUCUUACUUGCUUUAAGCCGGAUAUUAAAAGACUCAGGUAGGUAGACAGUCA